CCCAACUUCGGUUAUAAGAUCCCUCAAAGAUGAUGAGGUUAAUAGGUUCGAGGUGGAAGCGUGGUGACACGUGGAGCUGACGAAUACUAAUCGAUCGAAGACUUAAUCAA
Molecule: ribosomal RNA, 110 nt
Filed under: Staphylococcus sp. AtHG25
Lineage: Bacteria; Bacillati; Bacillota; Bacilli; Caryophanales; Staphylococcaceae
Description: partial 23S ribosomal RNA
Rfam family: Bacterial large subunit ribosomal RNA
Source: RNAcentral